GAUGAAGAACGUAGCGAAAUGCGAUAAGUAGUGUGAAUUGCAGAAUUCAGUGAAUCAUCGAAUCUUUGAACGCACAUUGCGCCCCUUGGUAUUCCAUGGGGCUUGCCUGUUCGAGCGUCAUUUGUACCUUCAAGCUUUGCUUGGUGUUGGGUGUUUGUCUCGCCUUUGCGUGUAGACUCGCCUUAAAAUAAUUGGCAGCCGGCGUAUUGAUUUCGGAGCGCAGUACAUCUCGCGCUUUGCACUCAUAACGACAGCGUCCAAAAGUACAUUUUACACUCUUGACCUCGGAUCAGGUAGGGAUACCCGCUGAACUUAAGCAUAUCAAUAAGCGGAGGA
Molecule: unclassified non-coding RNA, 336 nt
Filed under: soil metagenome
Description: partial contains 5.8S ribosomal RNA, internal transcribed spacer 2, and large subunit ribosomal RNA
Rfam family: 5.8S ribosomal RNA (bases 1-120)
Source: RNAcentral